GAUGAACGCUGGCGGCGUGCCUAAUACAUGCAAGUCGAGCGAACGGACGAGAAGCUUGCUUCUCUGAUGUUAGCGGCGGACGGGUGAGUAACACGUGGAUAACCUACCUAUAAGACUGGGAUAACUUCGGGAAACCGGAGCUAAUACCGGAUAAUAUUUUGAACCGCAUGGUUCAAAAGUGAAAGACGGUCUUGCUGUCACUUAUAGAUGGAUCCGCGCUGCAUUAGCUAGUUGGUAAGGUAACGGCUUACCAAGGCAACGAUGCAUAGCCGACCUGAGAGGGUGAUCGGCCAAGCUGGAACUGGGACACGGUCCAGACUCCUACGGGAGGCAGCAGUAGGGAAUCUUCCGCAAUGGGCGAAAGCCUGACGGAGCAACGCCGCGUGAGUGAUGAAGGUCUUCGGAUCGUAAAACUCUGUUAUUAGGGAAGAACAUAUGUGUAAGUAACUGUGCACAUCUUGACGGUACCUAAUCAGAAAGCCACGGCUAACUACGUG
Molecule: ribosomal RNA, 497 nt
Filed under: uncultured bacterium
Lineage: Bacteria
Description: partial 16S ribosomal RNA
Rfam family: Bacterial small subunit ribosomal RNA
Source: RNAcentral